GACGAACGCUGGCGGCGUGCUUAACACAUGCAAGUCGAACGGAAAGGCCCUGCUUUUGUGGGGUGCUCGAGUGGCGAACGGGUGAGUAACACGUGAGUAACCUGCCCUUGACUUUGGGAUAACUUCAGGAAACUGGGGCUAAUACCGGAUAGGAGCUCCUGCUGCAUGGUGGGGGUUGGAAAGUUUCGGCGGUUGGGGAUGGACUCGCGGCUUAUCAGCUUGUUGGUGGGGUAGUGGCUUACCAAGGCUUUGACGGGUAGCCGGCCUGAGAGGGUGACCGGCCACAUUGGAACUGAGAUACGGCCCAGACUCCUCCGGGAGGCAGCAGUGGGGAAUAUUGCACAAUGGGCGGAAGCCUGAGGCAGCAACGCCGCGUGCGGGAUGACGGCCUUCGGGUUGUAAACCGCUUUCGCAUGUGACGAAGCGUGAGUGACGGUAAUGGGGAAAGAAGCACCGGCUAACUACGU
This 467-nucleotide ribosomal RNA is filed under the name uncultured bacterium. RNAcentral's name for it is "partial 16S ribosomal RNA". It matches the Rfam family "Bacterial small subunit ribosomal RNA", at positions 28 to 506 of the family's 1533-position model. The record is from RNAcentral.